RNAcentral lists this ribosomal RNA (253 nucleotides) under uncultured bacterium. RNAcentral's name for it is "partial 16S ribosomal RNA". It matches the Rfam family "Bacterial small subunit ribosomal RNA", at positions 524 to 776 of the family's 1533-position model. The record is from RNAcentral.
UACGUAGGGCGCAAGCGUUGUCCGGAAUUAUUGGGCGUAAAGAGCUCGUAGGCGGUCUGUCGCGUCUGCCGUGAAAACCCGAGGCUUAACCUCGGGCUGGCGGUGGAUACGGGCAGACUAGAGGUAGGUAGGGGAGAAUGGAAUUCCCGGUGUAGCGGUGAAAUGCGCAGAUAUCAGGAGGAACACCGGUGGCGAAGGCGGGUCUCUGGGCCGAUACUGACGCUGAGGAGCGAAAGCGUGGGGAGCGAACAGG